GACGAACGCUGGCGGCGUGCUUAACACAUGCAAGUCGAACGAACAGCGGUGGAAGUUUGCUUCUAUCCGUCUUAGUGGCGCACGGGUGAGUAACGCGGAAUCAACCUGCCCUUCAGAGGGGUACAACAGGUGGAAACGACUGCUAAUACCGCAUACGAUCUAAUCUCGUCAUCGAGUAUUGAUGGAAGGUUGCGUUUACAUGUAAGCUAUCACUCAAGGCGGAGAUUGCGUCUGAUUAGCUAAGUGGUGAGGUAACGGACUAACAAGGGGAACAUCAGUAGCCGGUCCGGGAGGAGGGACGGCCAAAACGGGAACGGAGCAACGCCCAGGAUUCUACGGGAGGGAGCAGGGGGGAAGCUUUCGCAAUGGAGGAAAGUCUGAAGGGGCAACGGCGGGGGGGGGAUGACGGCCUUCGGGUUGGAAAGAUCUGUUAAUCGGGACGAAAGGACUGCUUGCGAAUAGUGGGAAGGAUUGACGGUACCGGAACAGAAAGCCACGGCUAACUACGUG
Molecule: ribosomal RNA, 510 nt
Filed under: uncultured bacterium
Lineage: Bacteria
Description: partial 16S ribosomal RNA
Rfam family: Bacterial small subunit ribosomal RNA
Source: RNAcentral